This 468-nucleotide ribosomal RNA is filed under the name uncultured bacterium. RNAcentral describes it as "partial 16S ribosomal RNA". It matches the Rfam family "Bacterial small subunit ribosomal RNA", at positions 28 to 507 of the family's 1533-position model. The record is from RNAcentral.
GACGAACGCUGGCGGCGUGCUUAACACAUGCAAGUCGAACGGAAAGGCCCUGCUUUUGUGGGGUGCUCGAGUGCCGAACGGGUGAGUAACACGUGAGUAACCUGCCCUUGACUUUGGGAUAACUUCAGGAAACUGGGGCUAAUACCGGAUAGGAGCUCCUGCUGCAUGGUGUGGGUUGGAAAGUUUCGGCGGUUGGGGAUGGACUCGCGGCUUAUCAGCUUGUUGGUGGGGUAGUGGCUUACCAAGGCUUAGACGGGUAGCCGGCAUGAGAGGGUGACCGGCCACAUUGCGACUGCGAUACGGACCAGACUCCUACGGGAGGCAGCAGUGGGGAAUAUUGCACAAUGGGCGGAAGCCUGAUGCAGCAACGCCGCGUGCGGGAUAACGGCCUUCGGGUUGUAAACAGCUUUCGCCUGUGACGAAGCGUGAGUGACGGUAAUGGGUAAAAAAGCCCCGGCUAACUACGUG